UGCAUAACCAACUUGUAAGUAACAAAUCAUAUCUCUAGGUUUGAAGACUUAUAUGAUAUUACCGUCUCACGAUCACUCGAGAUAGAAUUCCAUGAAGUGAUUCCAGUGAGCGUGGGUUGAGUCCAAUGCUCAGAACUUAUGAGCACUCAUGAUUGUUGUAGCCUUGUCCAAGACCUCUACAACCAAACAUGACAGUCUUGAUUCAUAUCUACUUCCAACAUAUGACCGACUGUGGAGGUUUGAAUAAUAUGUUAUACCAAACAAAAUUAUUCUGGAAGUCAAAACAUGCAAAAGAAAUAUAGUAAACGAUCGACAAGAGAUAGCAACACUUUACUCAUAAAUAAAACACCUUUUAUUCAUCAUCAAAUGUCAAUUACACUUUACAAAUUUCUGGGUUAUCUAACUACUAAAACUUAUAUCAUCCUUCAGCCCUAUGCUCCGAGCAUGCUGGAGAUGCUUAACCCUACUCAGUCCCUUCGUGAGGGGAUCUGCUGGGUUCUCAUCCGAUGAUACCCUCUUUGCCACGAGGAGUCCUUCUUCGAUCCGAUGUCUAAUGAAAUGGUAUUUUCUGUCGAUGUGUCUGGAUCUCCCAUGAUCCCUUGGUUCCUUGGCUAAGGCAACAGCACUUUCACUAUCACAGAAAAUUUCCAUUGGCUCUUUAAUAGCUGGUACAACUCCAAGGUCUCCAAUGAAGUUCUUCAGCCAUAUCGCCUCCUUUGCUGCUUCACUAGCUGCAAUAUACUCUGAUUCACAAGUAGAAUCUGCCACUGUCUCUUGCUUGGAACUCUUCCAAGAAAUUGCUCCUCCGUUUAGGGUAAAGACCCAGCCCGACUGAGAGCGGAAAUUAUCCCUAUCAGUCUGGAAGCUAGCAUCACUAUACCCUACAACUCUCAAGUCAUCACUCCCACCGAGGGUAAGGACCCAGUCCUUAGUCCUCCGUAGGUACUUGAGGAUAUUCUUUACCGCAGUCCAGUGUGCCUUGCCAGGGUUCGCCUGAUACCUGCUAACCAUGCUCAAGGCAAAAGCUACAUCGGGUCGAGUACACGUCAUAGCAUACAUGAUCGAUCCUACAGCCGAAGCGUAAGGUGUUCGACUCAUUUCUGCUAUCUCAGCCUCAGUGCUAGGGCUUUGUGUCUUACUCAAUCUGGUGUUACUCUGGAUGGGUAACUCUCCUUUCUUGGAAUCCUGCAUGCUGAAUCUCUUCAGCACCUUAUCCAAGUAGGUACUCUGACUAAGUCCAAUUAGUCUUUUACUCCGAUCUCUCAAGAUUCUUAUCCCUAGAAUAUAGGCAGCUUCACCAAGGUCCUUCAUAGCGAAACACUUCCCAAGCCAGGACUUUACUUCCUGCAGGGUUGGAAUGUCGUUUCCUAUGAGUAGUAUGUCAUCCACAUACAAUACCAAAAAGCUAACUAUACUCCCACUAGCCUUGACAUACACACAAGAUUCAUCUUCACUCCUAGAAAAGCCAAAUUCCUUGACCUUUUCAUCAAAGCAAAGAUUCCAUCUGCGAGGUGCUUGCUUCAAUCCAUAAAUGGAUUUCUCAAGCUUACACACUCUAUUAGGGUACUCGUUGCUGACAAAACCCUCUGGCUGACUCAUGUAAACAUCUUCAGCCAACUUUCCAUUAAGGAAAGCGGUUUUGACAUCCAUCUGCCAUAUUUCAUAGUCAUGAAAUGCAGCUAUGGCUAACAGAACCCGAAUAGACUUAAUCUUGGCUACCGGAGAAAAGGUCUCAUCAUAAUCCACUCCAGGAAUUUGAGAGAAGCCCUUUGCAACCAGUCUAGCCUUAUAAGUGUGUACUUUACCAUCCAUGUCGGUCUUCUUCUUGAAGACCCAUUUGCACCCUACUGUCUUACGACCUGGUACAUUUUCAACCAAGUUCCAAACUUGAUUGUCAUACAUGGAUUGUAUCUCGCUAUCCAUAGCCUCUUUCCAUUUAGCAGACUCGGGGCCUGCCAUGGCUUCCUCGUAGCUGUUAGGGUCAUCUUGACUUACUAGUGUCUCAUCACUAAUAAGUGUCUCACCUUCUGCAGUAAUAUGGAAUCCAUAGUAAUGCUCAGGUGCACUCCUAACUCUCGUGGAACGUCUCAGAGGUACAGAUUUGUCAAUUGGCUCAACAGGAGUUUCCUCCUCAAGUUGAGGGCUAGAGUUUGAAGUUCCUUCACCGCUUGAUUCUUGAAUUUCUUCAAGAUCAAUUUGCCUCCCACUGUCUCCUUGGCUUAUAAACUCUCUUUCUCGAAAGACUCCUCUUCUUGCUACAAAGACCACAUUGUCACUAGGUCUGUAGAAGAGGUAACCAAAGGAUCGCUGUGGGUAACCGAUGAAAAUACACCUCUCGCUUCGAGGUUCGAGCUUAUCAUGAGUCUCGCGUCUCACGAAAGCCUCGCAACCCCAAAUCUUGAUGUGGUCUAGUUUAGGUACUUUACCAGUCCACAUCUCGUGAGGAGUUUUGGCAACUUUCUUUGUAGGGACUAGAUUAAGAAUAUGGGCGGCAGUCUCUAAGGCAUACCCCCAGAAUGAGAUUGGUAGCGUAGCUCGACUCAUCAUGGAACGAACCAUAUCUAACAAGGUUCGAUUACGCCUCUCAGCCACACCAUUCAACUGUGGUGUCCUGGGAGGUGUCAAUUGUGAGACUAUCCCACAUUCCCUUAGAUAGUCGAGGAACUCUGAACUAAGAUACUCACCACCACGAUCGGAUCGAAGCAUCUUAAUGUUCCUGCCCAAUUGAUUCUCGACUUCCUGUUUAAAUUCCUUAAACCUCUCGAAAGUCUCUGACUUAUGCUUGAUCAAGUAGACAUAUCCAUAUCUACUAUAAUCAUCAGUAAAAGUCAAAUAAUAACGAUUAGCAUCCCUUGUGGCAUGUUUGAAUGGUCCACACACAUCCGUGUGUAUAAGGUCCAACAAACCUUCACCCCUCUCACACGAACCUGUGAAGGGUGACUUUGUCAUUUUUCCAAGUAAGCAUGAUUCGCAACUAUCAUCUGACUUUAGGUCAAACGACUCCAAGACUCCAUCCUUUUGGAGUUGGCCUAUGCGUUUCUUGCUUAUAUGUCCAAGACGACAAUGCCAUAAAGAUGCUUUAUCCAAGUUAUUAUUAGUAGAAUCAAUACACAAAACAUUAUUUCCCAAGUUAUCUACAACAGAUACAGCUUCAUACACACCAUCACAAGGUAAUGCUUUAAAAUAAAAGACAUUAUUAUAGAAAACAUCUAUAGAACCAACUUCAUUAUUAAAUGAAAAGGUAAACCCUUGUUUGUACAAAGCAUGAAAGGAAAUAAUAUUUCUUGCCAUUCCUGGCGAAUAACAACACUUAUUCAAAUCUAAACUAAACCCACUACUUAGCGAUAAAGUAUAAACUCCAAUCUUGGUAACAGGUAUAGCUUUCCUAUUCCCCAUGAUCAAGUUUAUCCUUCCUUGCUCCACAUCCUCACUUCUUCUUAGUCCCUGCAAGUCACAACAAAUGUGAAUACCACACCCGGUAUCAAGGACCCAAGAAUUAGAAUGGGGUGAGUUAUUAGAAAUGAUAGUGUAAAUACCUGCAUGGUUGGGUUUAACUUUCCCAUCCUUCACAUCUUGCUGGUACUUUGGGCAGUUCCGCUUCCAAUGUGCCUUUUCAUGGCAAUAGAAGCAUUCAGCCUCUUUUGGGUCAGAAGAAGGAGUGAUGAAACCUUUCUUGGUUCCACUUGAAGAAGAGCCAUCAAGGGUCCUAGCCUUGGUACCCUUCGAAGAACUCUUUCUCUUCUUCCCUCGUCCUUUCCCGAUUGCCAAGACAGGGGCGGAGUUGGUAGGAGUAGGAGUAGUAACAACCGCCUUACCCUUAAGACUACUUUCCGCGGUCUUUAAGAGUCCUUGAAGUUUGCUGAGAGUGACCUCUUCCUUGUUCAUGUGGUAUGUCAUGCGGAAUUGAUCAUAACAUGAAGGUAAGGAGUGCAAAAUGAUAUCUAUUGCAAACUCCUCGGGGAAGUUCACAUUAAGCUUUAGCAAACGGUCCACAAAUCUUUGCAUUUUCUACAUGUGGCCCGUGAUGGGUUCACCAUCCUUCAUUCAGGUUGUUAUCAUGGAGGAGAUGAUUUCAUACCUCUCUUGUCUUGAACUUUGAUGGUAUCUUUCCAUCAAAUCUUGGUGCAUUUCAAAAGGGUAGAAGUCAUCGUAGGACUUUUGUAGGUCGGCUGUCAUAGUGGCCAUCAUGAUGGAUGACACCUUGGUGGCAUCCCUUUCAUGUGACCUAAAGUCAGCGAUCUUUUGAGGAGUAGCAACUGUCUCAUCAAUCUCCUUAAGCUCCUUAUCGAGGACAUAUUCUUUGUCCUCGUAGCGGGUAAUCAUUCGGAUGUUUCUGAUCCAUUCAUUAAAGUUGGAUCCAUCAAAAGUGACUUUCCCACACAAGUUCAUUAGAGAAAAGGAGCCAUUAUGAUUAGAGCCAGAAGCAGCAGUGUUUGCAGACAUCUGAAAAGAAGAAGAGUUUAGUUUAGAAAUAAAGAUAGUCCUUAAUAAAACACCCAAAUGUAGUAUUAAGGCUAGGACCGAAUCAUAAUAUAUUAUACUUAGAAGAGGUAUGCCAUAAUCUAAGUAAUAACAUAUUUGAAAGGUAGGUGAAUGACGAUUCACUAAUUUCCACCAAAGACGAAAUAUUAAAAAUAUUUAAUUUGGUUCUUAGAAACUCCUAGAUUCUUUGAGAUUCAAUGAACUUUUCAAAGGCAUGUUUCAAUCUCGAGUGUGCCCUCCAAGUUUUGUGACUGGGAUACCGAGGAUCACAAAACGAGGUGUGAAGUAACCAUGCAAAUCACUUGGUACCCUUAAAGUUUAUCACUCAAUCGAUGUGCCGGUUAACCACACACGCUCCAUCGAUACUAUAAUAAACCCUAAGUCACCCUUUACCUACCUUGUUAAGUCCAAGUUAGUGUGCCGGUUAACCACACACGCUCCACCAACGACUUAAUCAAAGUGUAAAGUGUAAUUUCAUGGAAUAGCACCUUAUUCACAUUUUUCCUAAAGUAACUAAGAUUGGGAAUUUAAUAAAACAUUUAGUUACUUUAUAAUAUUCAUCAUACUUUGAAUGAGAAUUAAUAAGUCCUUGUCUUACCCGUUCGGCUAACGACCCUCCACCGAUCAAGCAAGCGGUGGGUGAGAGUGGACACCCAUUAAGUCACCAUUUUAUAGGCAACAACCUUAUACCCACCUUAUAGACCGGCUUCGUGAAUGAGGCGUACUAGCGGUAAGACGACUUUGUUCUUAUACAUAUAUAUAUAAUUAUUAAAUUAUAAUAUUAUAAGUAUAAGGGUUGAAUUUUAACUUUUAAAAUUCUAAGGGUUGGAACUAAAGUUUUAACAUGACUUUACUUGUUCCAAAACUUGAGGGCAAGUUUUGUAAACUUUCAAAACUUUUCAUUUCUUGUAACUUAUGAGUUAAUUAGAGUAUUAAAAAUGAAGACUCUUCAUUUUUAUAACCCAUGUGUUCUUUUAAUGUUUUUAAAACAAAGUGACUUUUGGUUUUCCAUAACUUGAGGACAAGUUAUGGACUCCAUUAAAACACAUAAUGAUCAUGAAUUAAUCUACCACAUAGGUUACAAAUAAUUCCUAUGAUCAUCUAAACAUCAUAAGAUCAAGAACAUGAAUAUGAACACUUUCAUGAAUCAAAAAUUACACUUAAAAACUUGUAAUUUUGAUAAUUUGUCAUUGUAAAUGGAUUAACAUGAACAUUACACCAACUAAAACAAGUUUUAAAACACCAAAACAGUUUAGGGUAAUGUUCCUAGUCCAUUUCCAGCAACAAAAAUCGAAAUUCUGAAAACUGCAGCCUCUACUCGUCGAGUGCAUGAACAGACUCGACGAGUAGCUUGCAUUUGGUCAUGGACUCGUCGACUCCCCCCAUGGACUCGGCGAGUUCAUACGGGUAGAAAGCAGAAAACUCGAUUUUUCAAGCAGUUUGCACAAAAAUCAAACAAGCAAGCCUAGGCUCUGAUACCACUGAUGGGUUUUGAGCAUUCUAACACUUCCUAAGUGUACAUGCAACCCUAAUAACCUUGGAUCUAUGUUUGUCUAAUAAUCAUGCAAAGUUGUUUUCCAAGGUUAUGAACCUAUCUAGCAUACAUGGGGUACAAUUUUCUUUGUAUAAAAGAUAGAACUACAUACCUUGUUGUUGAAAGUGUUCCUUGAAACCUUGUGAGCCUAGCACCUCAAGUGUGAUGCCUCAAAUGCUUCACACAACACCAAAUGCAAAGAAUAAACUUGAGAGAAUACUCUAACACAUGCAAAAUCGGCCAAGCCCUCUUGUUUCUUAGUGUAGCCGAUUUUGGGGAGUGUUACAUUGCUUAUAUAGUGUGUUGCAUUAGGUAAACCCUAAUGUUCCAUGACUCUUCAUUUCUUGAUCCAUGGGUUAACUCCAUGGAGCAUCUGGAACAUCUNNNNNNNNNNNNNNNNNNNNNNNNNNNNNNNNNNNNNNNNNNNNNNNNNNNNNNNNNNNNNNNNNNNNNNNNNNNNNNNNNNNNNNNNNNNNNNNNNNNNNNNNNNNNNNNNNNNNNNNNNNNNNNNNNNNNNNNNNAAACUAAUUAAAUAAUAUUAUUAAUAUAUUAGAACUUAUAAUAUAUUAAUAAACCAUAUGUGUUAUUUCUCUUAUUUAGUUUAUCCAAUUGCAUGGUGCCAUGCAACCCAAAUGGACCAUGCCGGGUCGGGUCAAGUACUUACCAGAAACAGUUAUGGACUUAGACACCUUAUCCAACAGUUACGUCUUAGGAUCAUUCCUUUUGGCCCAGUUUUGUAAACGGUUUGGACCUGUCCAACCAUGCAUUAUUUUAUUCUAGGGUUUUAGUAUUUAAGGUGCAUGCAUGCAUCCUUUGUUAAAAAGUUUUUUUUGAUAACUCUCAUUAUAGUAUUGUAAACCCUAGCUCGCCUCUACAGUGGAAGUUCUUAAUCGAGCUCUGCUAAGGCAUGACUACGUUUGAAUCAUAAGCUUUAUAUUGAUUCUAUAUUGUGUUCAUUGUCUUGUUUGAUUUAAUAGUUUGUUCUUCAUUAAUAUACAUGUGAAAGAUCUAAACGAUCAAGAUAUUUUAUCUCAUCAAUUGGUAUCAGAGCAGGAGGCUAUGUAAUUCAUAUACAUCUCUUAUGUUGAAGAAGUUAUUAGGGUUUUCCGCAUUGAUUGAUAUUAAUUGAGCUGUCAUUCCUCAUUGGAAUAUCUCAUUAAUUGUUGUACUUGCCCUAACGAUAAAUUACAAGUCUGAUCUUAAACAGGUUAUCAAUCAAACAUCAUCACAAUGUCAAUGGACGAUUCACAAUCCAAUCCAAUCAACAUCUCUAAUAGUAUUCGAUAAACAACAAUGAUUCCAAUCCUAUAUACUCAGGAUUAGGAAGUCUGGACGCACCACUUCGAAGAUUAUGUAAUCGGUUCAGAAGAUAAUGGGUAUUUGAUUUGGGAAGUAAUCACAGUUGGUCUGUUUGCUCACUCAAGCACUUAUAAAAUUGUCAAAACUCAAAAGACGUACAAUCAGCUCGUGAAUGAUGUGAAAGACAUUCCUCAAGACGAGAAAGAGAAGUUUUAGUGCAAAAUUGAAGACUUAAGAAUGAUUAGGUUUGCUUUACAAUCGGACACGUUUCGAAUGGUGGGUUCAUGUGCUACAACGAAGGAGAUAUUGGAUAGGUUAAAGGAAUUGUAUUCUACUGAUGAAGAUCUGGAACAUUCGAUUCAAACUUUGUUAGUUUCUGAAUUUGGUGAUUUCAAACAGAAGCCCGAAGAGAAACUUAUUCAGGCUUUUGACCGAUUUAAUCAUCUUCUCAGUAAGAUGAUAAAGCAUGGGAUCGAAAGGAAGGUUAUUGAGCAGAAGGUUACCUUCAUGAAUGGUCUCAGACCCGAAUGGAUGGCAGUUGUGUCUACAGUAAAGGCACACGGACAAUUCAAAUUCUAUUCUCUGGCGAAACUAGUGGGAAUACUGAAGUCCCAUGAAAGUGCAGUGACAAAGGAAACGAAUGUGGUUUCUAGCUUGGGUUCGUUAGCUCUUAUCUCCAAAGGAAAAAGUGUUGUUGAAGAAGAAGAAGAAUUAGAUGUUGCUGAAUAUGAUCUAAUUGGUGAAGAGCAUGCCCUGAUGGUUUCCAAUCCAAGAAAGUUUAUCAAAAGGAAGUUCCCCGCCAAUCAGAACCGAAGCUCGCAGGGAAGUUAUAGUUCUGAAAAAGUGAAGGAGGAACCGAAGAUGGGUUCAAAGUCUGAAGAAACUAAGAAGGAAACGAAGAUUGGUGGUGACUCAGGUUUUGAUAGAAAUUACUGUGGAGGCAAGAAUCACUUUGCCAAAGACUAGAUGUUGAAGAAGUCUGAAAGAGUUGAUGAAGACGAUGAGGAAGCGAACAUCCUGAAACGAUUGGAGGAUAUCAAGAAAAAGAAAUCAGCAGCUAACAAUAAUGAUGAAUUUGGUGGAGUGCAGGUGUGGUCCACAGAUUCAGAGGACAAAGAAGUAAGAAAGCCUACUCAUGGCAAGGCUCUGCUGGUGAAAGAAGAAAAGGUUGAGGAAGAUGUUUGAUGGUGAUGGAAGGUGUGUCACAGAUGUGAGGAUACACAACAGAUGGUGGACUGGAUGACGAGCAGGAGCGAGAGGACAGAUGUUUCGCUGCGAAACCUGUCAGUGCACAUAUCAACGAAUGUGAUGAGUUGAUCAAGAAGGUACACAAUAUUCUCAUUUCUCUGAAAAUUCCUAUUACUAACUAUGAAAUGGAACUGAAUGGACUAAAAUCUAAAUUUUCUAGUUUAAGUAGUAGUCUUACCCAAACUCGUGUCACAAACUCUAACUUGACUAAUCAAAUUAGCAGGAUCUCGUCGAAGUGCAAGGAGAGGAGAAUCUGGAUUGAGCAGAAGGAGAGGGAAUUAAUUAGAUCUAAGGAUGAGUCAAUCUAUUUGCAACAAGACAAUCUUAAGCUUUUAAAACAACAAAAUGGUUUUUUUUGAUUGAGAAAAGAUUAUAUUUUAAUAUCACUCAGUUACAUCUCAAUUGUGAAAUAGGAAAGAAGAUACAUUGCAUGAUUUUACCCUUCUUUGAGUUGAAGGAGGAUGAAGUCGAUGCCUAAGCUUACAACUGUGAAAAUGUUGUAUCUUCUGAUGAAAUAUAUCAUGCUUACAAAAUUGGUCUUGACAAAAUAGAGUCCUACAUAAAGUCAAAAUACCAUAAGGACAUGCUCAAAAAUCUGUUGGAUUAAAACGAUAAACUGAAAUUGAGAACCAAAACUGUACAAAAAUUUGACUCGUUGAAUGCAAAAUUAAGUUCAGAAAAUAAAAUUGAUGUUGAAAAUGCAUAUGAACUUAAUAAGGAUGAUGACAUGAGUGAAAUCUCUGUAAAGGAUGUGGUGGACUGUUCUAAAUUUGUCAAGAGCGAACCCGAAACAAGUAAAAAUCUCAUUUCUGAAAACUCUGUUGAGUUUGCUCGCUCAUCGAUAGACAAGACCAAAGUCCUCAAGGCAAAAGUUGUUGUAUAUCAAAAGGUUCAAACCACUCCAAAUCAAGUUUACACAGUACAAGGAGUCACACCACAAUAAACAGCCGAACUCACAACAUUAGUAGAAGAAGAUAAUGUUGAUGGAUGUGAUGAGUUUUUCUGGUCAGCACCGAUAGAUAACGCUGAUGAAACAGAACGUCUAUCUCAGAAAACAUCAUGGAGAGUGAGGAGUAGGUAUGUGGCAGAACCACUUAACGAACCUACACGAUAUGAUGUGCCAAGUACAAGUGGUACCAAAAAAUCUUCAAGUGAACCAGUGAUGCAUCUAGUGAGACAUGUUCGUCAAAGAGUGAAAGUCAUGCUCAAGUACCAAAGAAAAAGUCCAAUAUUCACAAAAAUCCAAAACAGGUGGCAGAACGAAAGCACCAAUAUAACUUGAGAUACAAGAAGAAUCUCUCAGAAAGAAAACAAUUUUGGCGAUCCCAGAAUCCUUAUUACGUUAGUUAUGAAAAGACAAAUAAGUCACGAGGAGAACCAAGAGCCAACGAAAGGAGAGUUUCGGACAUCAGGUGUUCCACAACCAAAAUGGUAACUUUGGUCCUCAUGAGAAUAGCACCCGAAAGGAAGGUUUCGGUCCUCAACAUGUAAGCACCCAAAAGGAAGGUUUCGGUCCUCAACAUGUAAACAACCGAAAGGUUGGAUUUGGUCCAAGAUCCAAUUAUCAGAAGAACCGAAGGGAAGAAAGUUUUCAUUCUCAACCAAGGAAGAGCAAUAAUCGACGAUCUAAUCUUGCUACUAAACCUUAUUCUUCUCAUUCUUAUUCUAAUUCUCAUUCUUCAAAAGAUUCAAAGGGGAAAGGAAAUCUCUUUCCAGAAGAUGAUAGACCCUCGAAAGAAACUCAAAAGCAUGCAGGCGUCAAAACCACAAAUCCUACGUCUAAAUCAAAUGAGUCCAAGUCAAAUAAAAUCAAAGUUUUUACAAUAAAAAGAAAAGAUGAAACAACUCUAAUAAAAAGAACUUAUCUGGUUGAUGUUUCUCUUACUAUUCCCUGUCCUGUAAAAGGAUCACAAGGACCCAAGAAACUUUGGGUUCCUAAAUCUGCUUGAUAUUUUGUAGGUUAUUCGUGACGAGUAGUUCGACGAAGAAUGGUACAUUGAUAGUGGCUGCUCGCGUCACAUGAUAGGAAGGAGGGAAGAACUGAAGGAGUUUCGGUCUCUCAAGGAUGGCGGAACGGUGAAAUAUGGCAAUAAUUCGUUUGGAACUAUCAAAGGCUAUGGAAUGAUUACAAAUGGCGACUUCUCGAUCAGAAAGGUAGAAUACGUUGAAGGAUUGCAUCACAACCUCAUCAGUGUCUCACAACUGGUGGUUGGCACCGGAUUGAAGGUCUCAUUUGACGAUGAAGGCUCAGAGAUUGUCGAAAAGAAGUCAAAUAAUAUUCUGCUGAAGUCGAAGCUAAAGGGAGAAAUGUACCCUUUAAAUCUCAAUCCAAUUCGAGGGAAACCAGUUGUUUGCUUUCUAACGAAGGCACACUCAGACGAAAGUUGGUUAUGGCAUCGAAGGCUCUCUUAUCUCAAUUUCAAAGAUAUCAACAAGCUGGUACUUGGAGAUCACGUUUGAGGUCUUCAGUUCUCAAAUUUGAUAAAGAACAUCUAUGUGCAGCUUGUGAGAUGGGAAAGCAAAGUCGACAGAGUCAUCCUUCUAUUAUCAACACAAAGGUGAUAGAACCGCUAGAGCUACUACAUAUCGAUCUAUGUGGUCCUUCCUCUAUCGAAAGCAUUGGUAGAAACAAGUACAUACUUGUUAUCGUAGAUGAUUUCUCUCGCUUCAAAUGGGUAUUUUCUUGAAGCAAAAAUAUGUCACACCCCCAAACCAAGGAUGGCGGAAACGUCUGGGGGUAGAGGACUUCAUGUAUAGUAUCAUAACAACAAUGGCAAUAGUGAUAAAAGUAAACGCAACCAACAUAUAUAUAAUUGAAAGAGUUACACCAUUGUAUGAAUUACAUGCUUUAAAAUCAAUUACAAUAUGUUGACAAAAUAUGAAAUGUUUGACGCCUUAACGUCCCAUCCUCAAAAUGCACUUAAUUUCCUGUUUAGUGAUUUCCUGAGAAUACAAGUUAUUUGAAAAAGUGUCAACACAAAGGUUGGUGAGCUCAUAAGCAUUUGUAGAUGGUUUAUGAAAAGCUUUUUCUUGUAAAAGUAGUGUUUGUUCCAGAAAAAUCCAAUAUUUUCCUUUAUAAAGUUAUGGGGUCCUAAAUCCCAGAACCAAGAAUGAACAAGUAUUUUCUAUACUUAAUGAUAUAACCAUGGUUUUAAAUCGACAUAAAACCCUUUUUAAUUAUAUAAAUUCCCAUAAACUUUAUGAGUUGUUAACUUCCUAAGUAAGUCUCUAUAACCAUACUAUGACUGAAUGAACCUGCCACAACGUUUCUCAGGCGUCGCGAAACUGAUAUGACAUUUGUCACCACAGACCUGCCGGUCUAGCCGUUGCAUGCAGCUCAGGUGUGGGGUGUCUAACCAAUAUAGAUUUAUACACAACUAUCAAGUUCUCCCUACAAGAGACUCUGGAUAUAGCUACUAGGAAUUUAGAUCCCGCACUCGGACGUACGGAAAGAGAAUGUCUCACAAUUUAAGUUAACAAGUUUAUGUGUGGUGUGCGUGAAUGUAAAACCUUUUUGUAUGAAUGUAUUUGUAUGAUUGUGUUAUGUGAUGAAUCAUAAACUAUACCUAUUAUAGUUUAUCAAAACAAGGGUAAAAGUGGUAAUGUACAUAAACUAUACUUAACAUAGUUUAUUCAAAUGUUUGUAUUUAAUAGGUGUACUUUGAUUGUAACAAAUUGUUACUUCUAUACUUUGUCUAGAAAAAUCCAUUUGUUAACUGAUGUAUGUCUAUAAACUAAGACAAUAUUGUCAUAUAAUGCAAUAACAUAUAAUCACAUAAAGAUAUACACCUUGCUCAACAUGUUACAAGGUGAAAUGAAAUUGAUAGUAUUUUUCUGUUGAUAACAUUUUCUAUCCUUGUUAUUAGAAAAUUUGUAGAAAAAUCAUCAGAGGUCCAAAUCAGAAUCCAAAAUUUCUGGGAGUUUGGAUGAGUUUGGAAAAUGAGUCUAGUUUCCGCAUAAUUUUUAUCAUGAUUUUUAAUGACCUCUAACUUGUGUGAACAAGUCCAUAAUCACAGACUGGUCCGAAAUUAGGUUUGAAAUGAUAGGCAGUUUUGUAAAAAUCACCAUAAAUUGCAGAAAAAUCGUAUGGAGAUGUGCAAGUAGUCAUUUUAAAUCUAAGAACUGGAACUACUUGCACCUAAAACAAUUUUGAAAACUAAAAUGUUUAAGUUGUCCAAAACAGUCCGUGAAUGGAGUUCAACUUUUCUAAUGAAAGCUGUUAGAAAAGUUUGGUUAUAUUCUUGGUGUUUUAACUUGUAUUCCCCCCCCCCCUAAAAACUUAAAAAAACAUGAAAAUGUAGGGGUAUGAACUCACCUUGAGUGAUGUAAGUGGGUGGAUGUUCAAGGAGAGAAGUGUUCAACUCAAGAACACUUGAAGAUGCCUAGAAGAUUUUCGAGAAUCAAACACCAAAGUGAUGGAAUUUGUGUAAGCAUUGUAUGAUAUGAGUAAAGGGGAGUGUAAUAAUCAUAGAGAGGAUGAAUUAUACUUACCAAGAGAGUGAGAAAGCUUGAUAAUCAGCCUUGAAUCUCGAAAUUGGCGGGAGGAAGUUGGAGAGAAAAGGUUGUUUGAUCUUCUUGGUGAAAAUGAGGAAAAUGUGUGAAGUGAAGAGUGAAAGAGAGUUCUCCAGCUCUUUUAGACGUGGGUUGCUGGGAAAAGAGAGGGGUAAUGCCUUGAAGUGACUAGGAGUAGAGAGGAGUAUAAGGAUUGGUCAAAGGAGUGGGCAUGGGGUGGUGGUUUGUGUCAAAUAUUAUGGCAAGAUCCACACUCCACCUCAAGAUCUCACUUAAAAGAUUUUAUUCUCAAAUAAAUAUUUUCAUGAAAAUAUGCCCAAAUUAUGAUUAUUUAGGGUCUUAUAUGUUAAAAUAUGAUUUCUGGAGAAAAUCCCGUGUUAAAAUAAUUAAAAACGGACUUAAACUGGAGAAUUAGUCAAAAACCGGGUGAAAAACGUAAAAAUCCGAAGUCUAGGACCGGAGGCGCUAAGGCUCGGUCAUCAGCGGCCUUGGAACUGGAGUGGCUCGACUGCUGAGGAGGGUCUGAAGUGUGGCUCAGUCGCGGAUGCUGAAGGAAGGCGCUGCGGUCCGAGGGAGUCUGAUGCGGGGCUUGGGUCCGGGUCCGGUGGCUCCGGCUUUGUGGCUGUGGUCUUGACGGCUGCGGCUCUAGGUUUCGGCUCGGUGGCUGCGGCUACUCAAGGGGCCUCAGAUCUAAGAGGACUUGACCCUUAUGGGGAGGCUUCGGUCCUAAAGGGUAAUUUACAAGAUUUUUCCCUUCUUUGAGUGGUUCCUUAUCAAGCCAAGUAUCGGGAUGCCCCAAUUGAUUAUAAAAAUUUCAAGAGAGGUUCCGGGAGAGAUUUUGGAGAGAUUUUACAAUCUUGGAGAGAUUUUAUAAUCUUGGAGAGAUUUCACAUACAUAGAAAGAUUUGGGAGAGAUUUCACAUACUUGGAGAGAUUUCUCAUACUGAGAGAGAUUUGGGAGAGAUUUGUCAUACUUGGAGAGAUUUCUCAUACGGAGAGAGAUUUGGGAGAGAUUUCACAUACUUGGAGAGAUUUCUCAUACAGAGAGAGAUUUCACCUACUUGGAGAGAUUUCUCUUACGGAGAGAGAUCUGACAUACUUGGAGAGAUUUCUCAUACGGAGAGAGAUUUGGGAGAGAUUUCACAUACUUGGAGAGAUUUCUCAUACGGAGAGAGAUCUGGGAGAGAUUUGACAUACUUGGAGAGAUUUGGGAGAGAUUUUUGGAUAAAGAGAGAUAAAAUGAGAACAAUUGAGAGAGGUUUUGCGUGCGACAUUUGAGAGUGUUUGGCUCCGCAACGCAAGGUCCGUAAACCUCGUUAAGCCGGGUUUUAGGAUCUUACACACUCUCGAUGAGUAUGCAACACUGUUUUAUCGUUUUUGUUCAUUGUUUAGCACUACGGCUAAGGAAAAUUAUGAUGGGUUUUGAGCAUUCUAACACUUCCUAAGUGUACAUGCAACCCUAAUAACCUUGGAUCUAUGUUUGUCUAAUUAUCAUGCAAAGUUGAAUUUCCAAGGUUAUAUUCCUAUCUAGCAUACAUGGGGAACAAUUUUAACUUGAAUGAAAGAUAGAAUAACUUACCUUGUUGUUGCUUAUGUUCCUUGAAACCUUAUGAGCCUAGCACCCCAAGUGUGAUGCCUCAAAUGCUUCACACAACACCAAAUGCUCUUCGAAAGACCUUUGAGAUAAUACACACUUCUUAAAAUCGGCCAAGCCCUCUAGUUUCUUAUGUCUAGCCGAUUUUGGUGGAGAAUGGGAUCCUUAUAUAGUGUUGACACAUCUAGGGUUACACCAUGUAAACCCUAAUGUGUCAUGACUCUUCAUUUCCAUGACCCAUGGGUUUGUAACUCCCAUGGAGCAUCCUAUGGGUAGAACCCAACUUGAUAAUCCAUGGAGCCUCUUAGCCCACUAUACAAGAUAUGAAUGAUUUACAUAAUCAACCCAUAUAUUUAAUUAGUUAUCCUUUGAUUACUUAAUUAAUUCCAAAUUAAUUCUUUGAUCAAACUAAUCAAAUAAUAUUAUUAAUAUAUUAGAACUUAUAAUAUAUUAAUAAUCUCCAAGUGUUAUUUCUCUCAUUUAGUCUAUCCAAUUGCAUGGUGCCAUGCAACCCAAAUGGACCAUGCCGGGUCGGGUCAAGUACAAACCCGAAAUAGUUAUGGACUUAGACACCUUAUCCAACAGUCUCCCACUUGGAUAAGUCUAAUAACUAUAUCUCUAGUACUUCAGGAACCGACCGGCAAUCGUAGCUCUUUCAAGGUCUCUCGGAACUGAGAAGAUGAUGGUACGCCAUUUAAGAUAAGUGAUCAUAUAAUCCUCCGUUCUAGAUAUCAGCCGGACAAAUACAUGGAACAAUGUCUUACUUAUUGUCCAGCAGUUUGUUUCCCGAUUUCCGAUUUGUUUGACAAAGAACUUAAUUGAACACAUCAACUUAGUUCUGACCGGGCCCGGUACAUAGGUCAAAACAAAAUCAUCGAGGGGCCCAGAUAUCAGCUUCUAAUCCAAGAAGGAACAGAUAAACUUCGACUCAUAUGUUUGUUCUACCACUCAUUGAAUUACACACAAAAGUACGUUUUAUAACAUCGAGUUACCAAUGCGGUUUCGUACAGUCAAUGCAUAACCAACUUGUAAGUAACAAAUCAUAUCUCUAGGUUUGAAGACUUAUAUGAUAUUACCGUCUCACGAUCACUCGAGAUAGAAUUCCAUGAAGUGAUUCCAGUGAGCGUGGGUUGAGUCCAAUGCUCAGAACUUAUGAGCACUCAUGAUUGUUGUAGCCUUGUCCAACACCUUAGACCUCUGCAACCAAUCAUGACAGUCUUGAUUCAUACCUACUUCCGACAUAUGACCGACUGUGGAGGUUUGAAUAAUAUGUUAUACCAAACAAAAUUAUUCUGGAAGUCAAAACAUGCAAAAGAAAUAUAGUAAACGAUCGACAAGAGAUAGCAACACUUUACUCAUAAAUAAAACUCCUUUUAUUCAUCAUCUAAUGUCAAUUACACUUUACAAAUUUCUGGGUUAUCUAACUACUGAAUCUAAUAUCAUCCUUCAGCCCUAUGCUCCGAGCAUGCUGGAGAUGCUUAACCCGAGUCAGUCCCUUCGUGAGGGGAUCUGCUGGGUUCUCAUCCGAUGAUACCCUCUUUUCCACGAGGAGUCCUUCUUCUAUUCGAUGUCUGAUAAAAUGGUAUUUUCUGUCGACGUGUCUGGAUCUCCCGUGAUCCCUUGGUUCCUUGGCUAAGGCAACAACACUUUCACUAUCACAAAAAAUCUCCAUUGGCUCUUUGAUAGCUAGUACAACUCCAAGAUCUCCAAUGAAGUUCAUCAGCCAUAUCGCCUCCUUUGC
This 16410-nucleotide long non-coding RNA is filed under the name Lactuca sativa (garden lettuce). Its description in RNAcentral is "long non-coding RNA (LSAT_LNC005210)". The record is from RNAcentral. Lineage: Eukaryota; Viridiplantae; Streptophyta; Magnoliopsida; Asterales; Asteraceae.